CCAUUCAUCCAUUUGUUAGCCGUGCCCAACCCAAACAAGAUUGCUGCCGAUGUUUUUUUUCUUUAAAAACAAAAAACCUUUUUAUUUCAUUUUUCUUUGUUCAGCUUCAUUAGAAUUAAAAAAAAAAAAAAACCCUUUCAUCUCCUCAUCUUCUGUUUCCUUCAUCGGGUGUCCGAUCAAUAUCAAUAGGAUUAUUAGAGUACUUAAUAAGUUAGGGCUUCAAAAGCGAUUGAUUGAAUUGGAAAAUAUGUCUUCUUCGGGUGGUGGUGACGGUGGUAUGAUAUUAUUAUGAAGAUGAGGAUGAACAAAAAGAUACUUUGUAUCAGAACUUGAUUCACAUCGAACCAUGAUUGAUUUGUUUGGUCGUCAAAGUAUUCGAGUUUCCUGGUGCUCAUUGUUACGAUCUCGAGGUUACAAGACUUUAUCAUCCGAUCGUGUUUGUCGUCUACCAGGGAAUGAUUUUAUAGAAGGUGGAUUGUUAGACAUAUGUUUGAAGAAGAAUAUCCCAGUUUGACCCAGUUGAUCGGUUGCCCAACAAACAGUUUGGUGUCUCAUCUAUCUAAGAAGGUUGGAGGGCUAGCUGAUCGUGAGACUACGUGUGGCAUGCAUAACGUCCAUCUUGGAAGGGUAAAAUUUUGACAUUAUAGGUUGCCGGUAACUUAUUUUAACCUGGGAAGUCCAAGGGGUUGUGGGAUCAUGCAAUUGGUUCUUCGACGUGUUGCACAUAUGAAGGCUGCUGCAUAGGCUUUAGCAACUAAGCAAAAGGUAGAACAAAAACUAUUAGUCGUGGAUUUCCAGACUGCCAACAAAUGGAUACAUAGUGGUUGAACAAGGCCGAUAGAGACACAAUUCGUCCUUCAAUCAUGGAUGAGAGGAUGUAUCUUCAGCCUUAUGUUGAGAUCCAUAUUACCAUGACUUAUGGACAAUAUCCUUAGAGAUGGGUACUAUUAUGACAACACUUACAUGUGUUGUUGGUGAAGAAGGAGAAUCAGAGUUCAACCCGAUUGUGAUUUAGUAUGGAACCGACAAUUGGGACAAACAAUAAAAGAAUGGUCUUUUAGUUACCAUGAUCAAUAUAACCAUGAAUCAAGUUUGUUCACCCUUGACUUUACUAUGAUUUUGUAUUAUUAUAUGUGACUCAUAUUUUGGUC
Erigeron canadensis is the source of this 1151-nucleotide long non-coding RNA. RefSeq lists it as uncharacterized. NCBI's taxonomy places the organism in Eukaryota, Viridiplantae, Streptophyta, Magnoliopsida, Asterales, Asteraceae. The record is from RefSeq and is a predicted model, not a curated record. The transcript has 7 exons.